AUACAUUCUUUAUCUGAGAAAAUAUCUCAUCAGGUUAGAUGAGUCAAAUAAAUAGUUUGAGGAAGUACUGAAGUGUGUCAUUGUAACAAAUAAUUUCAGUCCAAAUGGUGCCUAUGAACUAGAGGUUUAUUGUGAUUGCACUCUCUUGAUUUUGCUGUUCAUGUAAUAGGAAGUUUUCCUGUCUGGAGUUGUAAGAUGCUACUUUUGGAUUUGUCUUGAGAAAAUUCAGGCAUGUUUAGAACAUUGAAGAGUAAUUACUUUUUGAUUUCAUUUGAGAAUAUUCUGAUAUAUUUUGUAUAUUGAGGAGUGGUAAGUUGUAAAUUAUGUUUUCUCUGAAAUAUUAAAAAUAGUUGUUUGUAUUUUAUUUACU
Argiope bruennichi is the source of this 370-nucleotide long non-coding RNA. RefSeq lists it as uncharacterized. The transcript is spliced from 3 exons. Lineage: Eukaryota; Metazoa; Arthropoda; Arachnida; Araneae; Araneidae. The record is from RefSeq and is a predicted model, not a curated record.